UAUAUAUAUAUAUAAUGUUUUCUCUUAUUUUCUCCAGCAAUUUGAUUUCCAUGCUUUAGAGGAAGCUACUGAAUAUGAUGGUGGGUUUACAAAUGACUCUCCUACCAUAAGGAACUUCUGGUCUGUGGUACAUGAUUUCACUGAAGAACAACAGAGGAAAUUAUUACAGUUCACCACAGGGACGGACAGAGUUCCAAUAGGUGGCCUCUCUAAAGUUAAGUUAAUUAUUGCCCGCAAUGGUCCAGAUUCUGACCGACUCCCUACAUCUCAUACCUGUUUUAAUGUUUUGUUACUACCUGACUAUUCCAAUCGGGAAAAACUGCAAGACCGACUCACGAAAGCCAUUAACUAUUCCAAAGGUUUUGGAAUGCUGUGAAACAAACUAUAAAAACAAACAAAAAAAAAAAGGACAAAGAACAAAAAGCAAACAAAAAAACAAAACAGAGUCAAAAAUAAACCCUCCCUCCCCUCCAUUUUUUUCUCCUCUCCCUGAAGUAUUAACUUUCAGCAAGUGCAACUAGUUGAAACUACCACCACAACCAAUGCUAUCAUACCGUCACCGCCAUCACCACUAUAACUACUACUACUACUACCAUAACAGUUACUAAUAUAAUUACUACUACUACCUGAAGAUCUUCAAGACCUGUUAAUUCAUUGUGGAGACCGAAUUUCUAGCAGUGCUACCAUUUUACAGUUCUGACGAUGACGAUGAUGACUACAACAACACAAGAAAACAAAGAAAUGUGUUUUAAUAUCUCUUGGGAAAAAAAAAAAAUCUUUGUUGCAAUGCAUUCCCUCUCCUACCCCAUCUCCCUCUCUUUGCUUUUUAUUGCUGCUUAAUAUUCCAAAAUAUUUUUAGCUGCUUGUGUUUACACAUUUCUGUUGAUGCGUGUGUGUGUGUGUGUGUGUGUGAAUGUGAUAGCAUUUGUGUGGGUGGUUCAAUCACAGUUGGUAGGAAUUUGCUGUGAGUAUGCUUUUCUGUAUGCAAGGGAAAACAAGACUCAAAAA
Octopus sinensis (East Asian common octopus) is the source of this 1008-nucleotide long non-coding RNA. RefSeq lists it as uncharacterized. NCBI's taxonomy places the organism in Eukaryota, Metazoa, Mollusca, Cephalopoda, Octopoda, Octopodidae. The transcript has 3 exons. The record is from RefSeq and is a predicted model, not a curated record.